GAUGAAGAACGUAGUGAAAUGCGAUAAGUAAUGUGAAUUGCAGAAUCCAGUGAAUCAUCGAAUCUUUGAACGCACAUUGCGCCGGCCAGUAUUCUGGCGGGCAUGCCUGUCUGAGCGUCAUUUCAACCCUCGCAACCAGCUUGCUGGAUGCGGUGUUGGGGAUCGGCCCCCCGUACUGGGAGGCCGUCCCUUAAAUAGAGUGGCGGUUGCGCUGUGACCUCCUCUGCGUAGUAGCAAUAUCUCGCAAGCGGAUAGCGGUGUAACCACGCCGUAAAACCCCCAACUCUUCUUUGGUUGACCUCAGAUCAGGUAGGAAUACCCGCUGAACUUAAGCAUAUCAAUAAGCGGAGGA
Molecule: unclassified non-coding RNA, 352 nt
Filed under: soil metagenome
Description: partial contains 5.8S ribosomal RNA, internal transcribed spacer 2, and large subunit ribosomal RNA
Rfam family: 5.8S ribosomal RNA (bases 1-120)
Source: RNAcentral